This 624-nucleotide long non-coding RNA is filed under the name Homo sapiens (human). RNAcentral describes it as "long non-coding RNA NONHSAT154962.1". The record is from RNAcentral. Lineage: Eukaryota; Metazoa; Chordata; Mammalia; Primates; Hominidae.
GGUGAACAUGAAGACAGAGAUCGGGAUGAUGUUUCUACACACCAAGGAAGGAAAACUGAGGACCAGCAACCGCCAGAAGUGAAGAGAGGCCUGGAACAGGUUCUUCCUCAUGGCCUCAGGAGGAAACAACCCGACGACAACUUUGUCUGGGACUUCCAGCCUCCAGAACUUGAGACAGUCCAUUUCUGUUAUUGUGACACCCUGUCUGUGGCACUUUGUUAUGGCAGCGUAGGAAAUGAAUCCACUAGCCAUACAGUGACUCCAAACCACUAAGAAACAACCCAGUCCCCGCAAGAACUUCCAGGGACAUGUAUAGUGUGUGAUGCCCAUGAUGUCUGCAGUGAUAACAGAAGGCAAAUCGUCAGCGGAAGGCCACAGGAAUAACUCAAACAGUAAGUCAUCUCAGGAUGCAGAUCACAGGGGACAAAUAGAGAAUAAGCCCUCCCAGAAGAGUCCCACAGGCUGAAUGGGUGUGUGGGGGGCAGGGAAGGACAGCCCCAUAAAAUGGUAUUGGAGAUGGAAGUGGAGCAAGACCACACCUCUGAGUUGGCAAAGCCCAUGGUUCUCACAGGCAAGAGAAAGAGACUUGGGCUUCAGGGAAACAUAAGCCCAGGGAUAGCAGCA